This 1585-nucleotide long non-coding RNA is filed under the name Anser cygnoides (Swan goose). RNAcentral describes it as "lncRNA (ENSACDG00005015273.1)". The record is from RNAcentral. Lineage: Eukaryota; Metazoa; Chordata; Aves; Anseriformes; Anatidae.
UAAGUAAUCUGAAAAAUUCAAAUUGUUUCAGUCAUCUGUCUGCUGCUCCUUUCACUUUUUACAAAAAAAAAAAGAAGCUCUUGCAAUGACUGGUAUGCUAGUCAGUAUUCCCUUCCUGGGUUUCUUAACACCCCCAUAAAGAGAACAGAGUAAAUAGAAUACUCCUACUGAGUUUUUAAUGAUUUAUUAAUUGACUUUGGGUAGUACAGACAGAGGUAAACUGAAGUACUACAUAAUUAUCCUUAGAUUUUAACUGGUAAACUUAGUAACAUUAUAGUCUGUGCAAACAUGUCUCUGUAAAUAUGCAAAGAAUGAUGUAGAACUUUGCUAUAAGCAUUGGCUGGGUUAGCAGACUUAGAGGUGUAAGUAAGCAAUCAUUCAAAAUGGUAUUUCGAGUAUGUUCUUCUGGCAAAGAAGCAAGAUGCCGGGAAUCUAGCCCAUAUCAGAAUGACAUAAACAUGAUGUAAAAAUGCACACACACACACAAUUCAUUAUGAUCUUGUGCUAGCAGCAGUGGACACAUUUUUGGUGAACUUGGUAUUAUGAAUAUGGAAAACUAUUAGGUAGUAAAGAAGAAGCUUUUCUGUAAAAAUAUUAGGGAAGGAAUAGUUUAAUCUCAUAAAUCUCUUCACAGACACUGUACACAGAGCUCUCACAACCUUGGAGGACUUCUGUAUCAAUUCUUGGCAAUCUGUGCUAUUCUGUAAUGUGGGAGCAGGAAAAAGAAGCUCAGUUUUCCAAUGGAUUUGAAAAGCAAAUGACUAUCUUAUGUUUCUCCCAAGUUGUGAGCUGUCCUGAUACUUGACAUACUUAGGCAGGGCUGGUCUUAAGUAGCCUAGAGCUCCAAGCAAAGCCUUGGCCCUACAUUUUUGCCCCUCUAAAUCAGUUUUGCUUUCUUGAGCCUCUCAAGGCUCAUACUGGUUUCUAGUAUAUAUUCCCUCCUCUCUCCUGCUCUCCUACAGAUUAUCUCACUGUCUCAGUCCAGGACUCCCUCCAAGGUUCUCACCUCAAAUGUUAGGUUCAGGCACUGCUGAUGGAGCAGCUCCUAGCUACGCUCUCUGGCAGUAGUUGGUUAGGAGAUGAUUUUAUGUGUUAAUAUCUCUGUGCUCCAAAGACUGUCACCAGCUGAAUACGAGUGCACAUUUUGUGUAGUCCCUGUGGACCAAUAAGCUAGUGUGCAGGAGCCUGAAAAGAAUCUUCAAAAACAGGAGGCAUGAAAUCGUUUGGUUGGACUGCUUUUAACCUUGAUUUAAACUGCUCAGGUGUGGGAUUGUGAUUUAGCAAUAUAAGCUGCUUUUAAAUUAUAGUUAAAGGUUUUAAAACAGAUUCAGGGUUCACUGAGCCCUCCCUCUCACUUGAUUAUUCAAUGAUUUAUACAUAUAUAAUGACUUUAACUGACGGAGGGGGUAAUUUAUGUCAUGACAUGCAUGAUAUAUAGAUCUAAAUAGACUAGCGAGAGGGAAAAAGGAGCCAUCUGUUCCCUAGAAAACUGUCCAUUGUGAGAAGGAUGCAAGAACUGUGCUUGAAAAAUGUGUUUGGAAAGAGCAGGAAUAAAUUUAUCUAAAUUUCUUGUGCUGUGUGGAUG